Oncorhynchus tshawytscha (Chinook salmon) is the source of this 888-nucleotide long non-coding RNA. NCBI's taxonomy places the organism in Eukaryota, Metazoa, Chordata, Actinopteri, Salmoniformes, Salmonidae. The record is from Ensembl.
GUAACACACAGAGAGAUGUAACACACAGAUAGAGAUGUAACACACAUAUAUAGAUGUAACACACAGAGAGAUGUAACACACAGAGAGAUAUGUAACACACAGGUAGAGAUGUAACACACAGAUAGAGAUGUAACACAUGUAUAUAGAUGUAACACACAGAUAGAGAUGUAACACACAGAUUUAGAUGUAACACACAGAUAUAGAUGUAACACACAGAGAGAUGUAACACACAGAGAGAUGUAACACACAGAGAGAUAUGUAACACACAGAUAGAGAUGUAACACACAGAUAGAUGUAACACACAGAGAGAUGUAACACACACAGAUAGAGAUGUAACACACAGGUAGAGAUGUAACACACACAGAUAGAGAUGUAACACACACAGAUAGAGAUGUAACACACAGAUAGAGAUGUAACACACAGGUAGAGAUGUAACACACAGAUAGAGAUGUAACACAUGUAUAUAGAUGUAACACACAGGUAGUGAUGUAACACUCACAGAUAUAGAUGUAACACACACAGAUAAAGAUGUAACACACAUAUAUAGAUGUAACACACAGAUAGAGAUGUAACACACAGAUAGAGUUGUAACACACAGAUAGAGAUGUAACACACACACCCUACAAUAAUAGAAAAACAAACACGGUUGCAAUCAAAUCAAAUGCAUCUGACACGGGCUUACUGACAGACAUGUAGCACACACAGAUAGAGAAGUAACACACAGAUAGAGAUGUAACACACAGAUAGAGAUGUAACACACAGAUAGAGAUGUAACACACACACGGAGACUUACCUUGAAAUGCUAACAUGUUUACUUACAGAGAUGUUCACUGGCGAAAACACACACAUGAAAGGCACCCGAUAAUUACAGACUUGUUCACUCUCAUG